This 1313-nucleotide precursor RNA is filed under the name Zea mays. RNAcentral's name for it is "precursor miRNA zma-miR168b". The stretch from base 87 to 188 matches the Rfam family "MIR168 microRNA precursor family". Lineage: Eukaryota; Viridiplantae; Streptophyta; Magnoliopsida; Poales; Poaceae. The record is from RNAcentral.
AGACCACCACGGCACCAGCAGCACCACCCAGUUAACCACCACGCCUCUCUCUCUCUCUCUCUUACCGGGAAGCAAGCAACCGCCUCCGCCGCGCCGUCUCGGGCUCGCUUGGUGCAGAUCGGGACCCGCCGCCCGGCCGACGGGACGGAUCCCGCCUUGCAUCAAGUGAAUCGGAGCCGGCGCAGCGAUACAGCGACCGACCCCCGCCGCCGUCCGCCACCUGCGCUGCUCUUGAGUACCCCCCAUGCCGUGGCCUGCUUGUUGCGUGUUUUUUUGUUUUUCUGAUACGGGUCGUGCGCGUGUUGCUGUGGUUCUGUCUUGUGUGACGCCGUGGGAAUUAUUAGGCGUCGUGGGGGGUGAGGGGGUCUCUGCUCUAGAUUAAACAACCCGGAUCUGGAUCUGACGCGUGGUUUCCGUAGUUUGAUCCGACGUAGUCUGGGUGACUACGUUCUGGUGGUUUACCAUGAUCCAUCCCUAUAUCCGCUAGACUCUGCUAGUCUGCUUUAGGGGGUGUUUGGUUUCUAGGGACUAAUUUUUAGUCACUACAUUUUAUUCCACUUUAGUUACAAAAUUACCAAAUGUAGAAACUAAAACUCUAUUUUAGUUUCUAUAUUUGUCAAUUUAUAUACUAAAAUGAAACAAAAUGAAGGGACUAAAUAUUAGUCCCUAGAAACCAAACAUGACCUUAAUUUCCAACUGCAAUUUUCUUCUGUUCUGGUGGUGGUGUCAGGGAGGCAGGCGGCUUGGAUUUGCCUGCGGGGUUGUAGGGCGGUCAUGUUGAUGCAGCCCCUGUCCUUGGUCACGGGGGAAACCAUGCCAGGCUGGACUGAACUGCAGAGAGAUUAAUUGAUUUGACUGCCUUUGUUGCUAGGGAUGUAUACCACUACGAGCUCUGUAAGGUAGUAGAAAUUAUGGGGCAGCAACAGCAAGCAUGCUCACAUGAUGCUUGUGAAUUAUGGUCAGCAUGGUUUCUGUGACAGAUGCUAAUCAUGAAAACUGGGGUCGACCUGAUUGAUUCUCAGACGCCAUCAAUUAUAGGUUUGUGUUAAGUAAACUAGUUUUUUUUAACAAGGGGCAUAACCCCGCACCUUAUUACCAAGAUACGUAAGCCUAAUCCUGGAUCAAUUAGGCUACUGAUUUGGGCUUCGCCUUUUUUUUGAAUUCUUGUGGACCUACUCCAUGUCUGUAUAUGGAUGGGAAAUGUACAGGUUGUUUGCUGUGAACAACUUUGCCUUGUCUGAAAUGGUGUCUGUACUGUAAUACUUUCCUGAUGAACGAAUAUAACCAUGUGAGGUGUGGUGAUGUUAGCGGAA